Molecule: long non-coding RNA, 911 nt
Filed under: Panax ginseng (ginseng)
Lineage: Eukaryota; Viridiplantae; Streptophyta; Magnoliopsida; Apiales; Araliaceae
Description: long non-coding RNA (PGIN_LNC002905)
Source: RNAcentral
AGAAAAAUCACAAAAACAUGCUAAUACAUCAUGUGAACACAGAUCAAUGAUAUCCCAACAAUCAACGACUCUGAAUCUGUUAUUACUGAUAUUGUGAGUGUGUGUGUUCAACAACCAUGCUAACCCAUGAAAGGCAAAAAUAUGAAAGAUAAUAAAUUUCUUAGUAAGCUUCAUACAGUGUAAACUUGAGAACUCAUCAAAUAUACUUGUUUCAACUGAAAUCAAACAAUUACCCGAAUUCAAGAGUCAAAAUGGAAUACUUAUGCCUUUUUUUUAUAACGAGGGCUCUUUGCACUUUUCCCGCUUUAUUUACAUUUUUUUUUUCAAUAUACAUAAAUGACUGUGCAAUGUCUCAUCCCAUUAGACUAACAGUGUUACCCCUUAGCGAGCUUUCGACCAACGACUCCCAGACCAUGAAAGACCUUAGGGCGCUACGUGUAAAGAUAAUCUCCUCAGGCGUACUUGCUCAAGUAACAAAGGCCCCAAAACAAGACUAGUCACCAUGUAUACUUUUUUUUUCUUCUUUUUUUUUUUUAGCUUAUAUAUUCCAAAUAUUUUUCCCCCAAACUCUAGCUUAUGUAUAAAUUCAGUCUUCUCUAGCUAUUCAACUUGUCCUUUCAUUUCACUAGCAAUCAUCCUUUAGAACUCUAUUAUCUAACCAUUUAAACUAUCAUAGCCAACAUGGUCGUUUUUCAAAGUGUUUUCCUAUAAUAUCAGUGUCAAAUAGAUAAAAAUUCAAUUCAUGUCAAGAAAAUCACAUCACUGACUCAACAAUCCUUACUAGACUUGUUCAUGCAAUUCUACUUUCAUCAUUGGCCCCCAAAUAUACGCACUAUCAAAAACUGGAAUUACAUGCAAUCCUAAAUGCAACAAUAAACUAGCAAUCACAAACCAAAUCCACAAACUAAUAA